This 253-nucleotide ribosomal RNA is filed under the name uncultured bacterium. RNAcentral's name for it is "partial 16S ribosomal RNA". It matches the Rfam family "Bacterial small subunit ribosomal RNA", at positions 524 to 776 of the family's 1533-position model. The record is from RNAcentral.
UACGUAGGGGGCUAGCGUUGUCCGGAAUCAUUGGGCGUAAAGCGCGUGUAGGCGGUCCGGUAAGUCCGCUGUGAAAGUCGGGGGCUCAACCCUCGGAUGCCGGUGGAUACUGUCGGGCUUGAGUACGGAAGAGGCGAGUGGAAUUCCUGGUGUAGCGGUGAAAUGCGUAGAUAUCAGGAGGAACACCAAUAGCGAAGGCAGCUCGCUGGGACGUUACUGACACUGAGGCGCGAAAGCGUGGGGAGCGAACAGG